UGCACUGUGGCAUAAUGGUUUGAGUGUUAGACUAUGACUCUGGAGACCAGGGUUCAAAUCCCUGCUCAA
Phrynosoma platyrhinos (Desert horned lizard) is the source of this 69-nucleotide non-coding RNA. NCBI's taxonomy places the organism in Eukaryota, Metazoa, Chordata, Lepidosauria, Squamata, Phrynosomatidae. The record is from the annotation of a GenBank genome assembly.